Molecule: non-coding RNA, 216 nt
Organism: Pelobates cultripes (western spadefoot toad)
Lineage: Eukaryota; Metazoa; Chordata; Amphibia; Anura; Pelobatidae
Source: the annotation of a GenBank genome assembly
UUGUUCAGCAGUGGCUUGACAAGAGGAAUACGACAUCUGAAGCCCAUGUCCAGGAUCCGUCUGUGUGUGCUGGCUCUUGAUGCACUAACCCCAGCCUCAGUCCACGCCUUGUGAAAGUCCCCAACACUUUUGACUAUUCCCUUCCACAUACCUUUCUAAUAAUCUGCUUUGAUACAGCACUUUGGGAACUUCUAACUUCCUUCGCAAUUACCUUUU